GGAGGAUUCGCCUAGUGGCCUAGGGCGCACGCUUGGAAAGCGUGUUGGGCGCAAGCCCUCAGGGGUUCGAAUCCCCUAUCCUCCG
This 85-nucleotide transfer RNA is filed under the name Pseudonocardia oroxyli. It matches the Rfam family "tRNA". Rfam says of the family: Transfer RNA (tRNA) molecules are approximately 80 nucleotides in length. Their secondary structure includes four short double-helical elements and three loops (D, anti-codon, and T loops). RNAcentral also lists the same sequence under 2 other names. Lineage: Bacteria; Bacillati; Actinomycetota; Actinomycetes; Pseudonocardiales; Pseudonocardiaceae. The record is from Rfam by way of RNAcentral.